This 466-nucleotide unclassified non-coding RNA is filed under the name Bombus terrestris (buff-tailed bumblebee). RNAcentral's name for it is "misc RNA ENSBTSG00005022404.1". The record is from RNAcentral. Lineage: Eukaryota; Metazoa; Arthropoda; Insecta; Hymenoptera; Apidae.
AAGUUACAUUACCUGCCUUUUUUAAAAUUUUUAAAUUCCCAGUCUUUGGUAUAAUUGGUUACGUUAUUAAUAUACUGCGAUAGUUCGAGUGAGAAAUGAAGUGUGACAACCGAUUUACUAGUGAUUUCUAAUGAGUGAGAGAGCGAUAGUGAUUACAUUGGUUCAACCAAUAAAAGAGCAGAACAACUUCAAAAUCAUUCAACAAUGACUUUCCAAUUCAAAAAAUCGUACUUUAUACUCUGCAGUUAUCUCCGAUAUAUUUCUCCAAAAAGAUCUAACCCCAAUCAUAGAAGAAAAUGGAAAUAUUACGGGCGGAUUAGCGGAAAACCACAAGCAAAAUCACAUACAGAAGCACGCCCUUCAAUUAAUUAACACUAAACCUGCCGAGACUUCGUGUAUACCUAUUCCUACCGUGUGCGGUCAAAAUGAUCGGUGAUUAAAGAAGUAAUAGUUUUUAUGAUUUAAC